UGAGGGCCACCUAUGCCUGUGUUACAUUCUGUACUGUGAGUGGCUCCUUGGCUCUUCAAAAGGGCUGUUAAAUGCAGUUAGGGAAUUUGGAUCCCUUAUUCAGAAUGUGGAAAAGAAGCUCCACCCAUCUGUGCUUGUAGUCUACUUCCUUUCAUUUGUUUACGAGACAAAAUGGAGUUGAUCUGGAAGCAGUUUUGGAGGAGGAAAAUCAUAUGUCUUUCCAGACCAUCAAGUAUUGUUGAACUUAUUAUUGCUUGAAGACAGAGUCAUGAUCUGGCCAGAGGGAAGUUUUGAACUGUAAUGUAAAAUGAAAUCCCUUUGGCCUGAGAUUGCACUGCACCAGGAUGUUCCACCCAGCCUGGGCAGGACAGUCACACUGCAGGAUGAGUCUGGUGGGACCGAUCAGGAUAUUGCCUGUUUCCACAGCCCUGGAUGGCCACAAGACACCCUUUGUAUACCAUUACUCUCUCUACUUCAGACUUUGCCGCUGCAAGUUUUAUUUUGCAGCUGCGAGAAGAACAAAAUAAAUCUUCAUUCUGGGGAUGGCAAAAUUCCCUGUAGCCUGCACGCUGAAAAGCCUUGGGCUCGCUGUGCUGCCACAUCUUGUUCUACUUAAACUACUGCUUUUAAUAGACCCAAAAUGUUUGCUUUGGAAAAGGUGUUUUCACGUCCUCCAGCAGAGCCACGUGCACUGGUUUGUUUGUGUCAGACAUGGCCUGGCCCCGGGCUGUGCUGCCAGGGUUGUGCUGGAUCAGCUCACAAGGUACCAUCACCAUCCAACCACCCAACUGGACAUUUCCUUAGACUUCAGUCCAGUGGAAGCUGGAGAUUGUUUAGAGUGGGUUGAAAUGUCUCAUGAAAGCACAUUUCAGAUACCUGUUCCUACCUUUAAUUAACCCUUUAAUAUGGGACUUGUCCAUAAGGAUCCAUAAAAGAUUUUGGGAGUUGCAUUAAGAAUAAUUGGUAAUUUUUCACGCUGA
Vidua macroura (Pin-tailed whydah) is the source of this 980-nucleotide long non-coding RNA. RefSeq lists it as uncharacterized. The record is from RefSeq and is a predicted model, not a curated record. The transcript has 3 exons. NCBI's taxonomy places the organism in Eukaryota, Metazoa, Chordata, Aves, Passeriformes, Viduidae.